RNAcentral lists this ribosomal RNA (668 nucleotides) under Staphylococcus epidermidis. Its description in RNAcentral is "bacterial SSU rRNA". It matches the Rfam family "Bacterial small subunit ribosomal RNA", at positions 20 to 669 of the family's 1533-position model. The record is from RNAcentral. Lineage: Bacteria; Bacillati; Bacillota; Bacilli; Caryophanales; Staphylococcaceae.
UGGCUCAGGAUGAACGCUGGCGGCGUGCCUAAUACAUGCAAGUCGAGCGAACAGACGAGGAGCUUGCUCCUCUGACGUUAGCGGGCGGACGGGUGAGUAACACGUGGAUAACCUACCUAUAAGACUGGGAUAACUUCGGGAAACCGGAGCUAAUACCGGAUAAUAUAUUGAACCGCAUGGUUCAAUAGUGAAAGACGGUUUUGCUGUCACUUAUAGAUGGAUCCGCGCCGCAUUAGCUAGUUGGGAAGGUAACGGCUUACCAAGGCAACGAUGCGUAGCCGACUUGAGAGGGUGAUCGGCCACAUUGGAACUGAGACACGGUCCAAACUCCUACGGGAGGCAGCAGUAGGGAAUCUUCCCCAAUGGGCGAAAGCCUGACGGAGCAACGCCGCGUGAGUGAUGAAGGUUUUCGGAUCGUAAAACUCUGUUAUUAGGGAAGAACAAAUGUGUAAGUAACUAUGCACGUCUUGACGGUACCUAAUCAGAAAGCCACGGCUAACUACGUGCCAGCAGCCGCGGUAAUACGUAGGUGGCAAGCGUUAUCCGGAAUUAUUGGGCGUAAAGCGCGCGUAGGCGGUUUUUUAAGUCUGAUGUGAAAGCCCACGGCUCAACCGUGGAGGGUCAUUGGAAACUGGAAAACUUGAGUGCAGAAGAGGAAAGUGGAAUUC